ACAACAAAAACAGUCCUUCUCAGUACUAUACCAACCUGGACGAUCUACAUUUAGAAACAUGUAACGAUACUCCCGUGUUCAAAACCAUUUACUUUUAAAGUAUAAAU
This is a long non-coding RNA of Xenia sp. Carnegie-2017, 107 nucleotides long. RefSeq lists it as uncharacterized. Lineage: Eukaryota; Metazoa; Cnidaria; Anthozoa; Malacalcyonacea; Xeniidae. The record is from RefSeq and is a predicted model, not a curated record. The transcript is spliced from 2 exons.